AGAGUUUGAUCAUGGCUCAGGAUGAACGCUAGCUACAGGCUUAACACAUGCAAGUCGAGGGGAAACGACAUCGAAAGCUUGCUUUUGAUGGGCGUCGACCGGCGCACGGGUGAGUAACGCGUAUCCAACCUGCCCACCACUUGGGGAUAACCUUGCGAAAGUAAGACUAAUACCCAAUGACGUCUCUAGAAGACAUCUGAAAGGGAUUAAAGAUUUAUCGGUGAUGGAUGGGGAUGCGUCUGAUUAGCUUGUUGGCGGGGUAACGGCCCACCAAGGCUACGAUCAGGUAGGGGUUCUGAGAGGAGGUCCCCCANAUUGGAACUGAGACACGGUCCAAACUCCUACGGGAGGCA
This 353-nucleotide ribosomal RNA is filed under the name uncultured bacterium. RNAcentral's name for it is "bacterial SSU rRNA". It matches the Rfam family "Bacterial small subunit ribosomal RNA", at positions 8 to 350 of the family's 1533-position model. The record is from RNAcentral.